UUGAGUGGUCAUAGCAAAGGGGAUCACCUGAAUCCAUUCCGAACUCAGUAGUUAAGCCCUUUAACGCCGAAAAUACCAGCAAUGGGAAGAUAGGAAACUGCUCUUU
RNAcentral lists this ribosomal RNA (106 nucleotides) under Mycoplasma sp. Lineage: Bacteria; Bacillati; Mycoplasmatota; Mollicutes; Mycoplasmatales; Mycoplasmataceae. The record is from RNAcentral.